CUUUCCCUCUCUCGGGAUGCUUUACACAUGCAAGUCGAACGGCAGCGCGGACUUCGGUCUGGCGGCGAGUGGCGAACGGGUGAGUAAUGUAUCGGAACGUGCCCAGUAGCGGGGGAUAACUACGCGAAAGCGUAGCUAAUACCGCAUACGCCCUACGGGGGAAAGCAGGGGAUCGUAAGACCUUGCACUAUUGGAGCGGCCGAUAUCGGAUUAGCUAGUUGGUGAGGUAACGGCUCACCAAGGCGACGAUCCGUAGCUGGUUUGAGAGGACGACCAGCCACACUGGGACUGAGACACGGCCCAGACUCCUACGGGAGGCAGCAGUGGGGAAUUUUGGACAAUGGGGGCAACCCUGAUCCAGCCAUCCCGCGUGUGCGAUGAAGGCCUUCGGGUUGUAAAGCACUUUUGGCAGGAAAGAAACGUCGCGGGCUAAUACCCCGUGGAACUGACGGUACCUGCAGAAUAAGCACCGGCUAACUACGUG
Molecule: ribosomal RNA, 484 nt
Filed under: uncultured bacterium
Lineage: Bacteria
Description: partial 16S ribosomal RNA
Rfam family: Bacterial small subunit ribosomal RNA
Source: RNAcentral